CUGAUAUUUGCUCACUUGCUUUGCUCCCUCCAGCUGUUCCCAACUGCAGACCACUUAUUACACAUUGUUUGCUAUUUCCGCUGUUCCAGCCUUGCCUGGAAGGUAGCCAGAGGAAUCUGUGGCCUACAGAGCACUCAUUUCAGUACUUGUGGCCUUGACUUACAUAGGUCGAAGUCAAUGACUAGCCUCUUUGGGAAGUAAAGGGUGAAUAUGCCCAUAAUUUAAACUGAUGGGUUAAAAACAGCCUUAGCGAAUCAGCACCCUCUACAAAAAAGACCAGAAUUGCUUUGUUUUGUUCACACUUCUGGUUGCUUGUCUACAGAAUACUGGAAGAAAAAAGUCCGGUUCAGAACAACCGAAGCAAAAAUGCAAGCUGAUAAGAGUUUAUCAUCUACAGAGGAUCUUCAUGGCUGGUAGAACUCCAAGAUUAGUAAAAGCAAGGCCGAGUCUCACAGAUAAAUCAGAUUUUUGAACAGUCACAAGAAGAGAUAUGAAGGACACUGACCAGACUGUACCCCAAGUGUCUGUGAUGAGUCCAUGAUGAGAAGAAAGGAAGAGAUGGAGAAACAAUGAUACAGAAGAAGAAGGACAUUGUCAGAACAUAGUGGCUGAGAAUGUGCAUCCAUAUCAUGUCAAAAUACAGGUCUGUACAACUUUACUAAUGAUAUUACUGGCCAAAGUGUUUGUUUUAAUGCUAUGAAUAGCCAUAUUUCUAUUACAGACAGACUCACCAGCAUUGUGUUAUAACUGAAAACGCGAGUUAUAGAGACUUGUUGGACCCCAUUCUUAUCACAAAUGAUAUCCAGGUAGAAUCUCAAGGAGAACCCACUAACUUUCCACACGUGAAAAACAAAAGCUUACAUACUUAAGUUCCAGGAAUCUUUUAAUAUUUCAUGGAUCUCUAUCAAAAUCUCUGAAACAAA
This 923-nucleotide long non-coding RNA is filed under the name Sarcophilus harrisii (Tasmanian devil). Its description in RNAcentral is "lncRNA (ENSSHAG00000030835.1)". Lineage: Eukaryota; Metazoa; Chordata; Mammalia; Dasyuromorphia; Dasyuridae. The record is from RNAcentral.